UAAUUGAAGAGUUUGAUCAUGGCUCAGAUUGAACGCUGGCGGCAGGCCUAACACAUGCAAGUCGAACGGUAACAGGGAGCAGCUUGCUGCUCUGCUGACGAGUGGCGGACGGGUGAGUAAUGUCUGGGAAACUGCCUGAUGGAGGGGGAUAACUACUGGAAACGGUAGCUAAUACCGCAUAACGUCUACGGACCAAAGUGGGGGACCUU
RNAcentral lists this ribosomal RNA (209 nucleotides) under Cronobacter sakazakii. RNAcentral's name for it is "partial 16S ribosomal RNA". It matches the Rfam family "Bacterial small subunit ribosomal RNA", at positions 1 to 211 of the family's 1533-position model. The record is from RNAcentral. Lineage: Bacteria; Pseudomonadati; Pseudomonadota; Gammaproteobacteria; Enterobacterales; Enterobacteriaceae.